AGAGUUUGAUCAUGGCUCAGAACGAACGCUGGCGGCGUGCCUAACACAUGCAAGUCGAGCGAGAAAGGGGAGCAAUCCCCGAGUAAAGCGGCAGACGGGUGAGUAACACGUGGGUAAUCUGCCCUCGAGUGGGGAAUAACAUCUCGAAAGAGGUGCUAAUACCGCAUAACAUCCUGGGGCCUCAGGUCUCUGGGAUCAAAGGUGGGGAUCUUCGGACCUACCGCUUGAGGAGGAGCCCGCGCCUGAUUAGCUAGUUGGUGGGGUAAUGGCCUACCAAGGCGACGAUCAGUAGCCGGCCUGAGAGGGUGAACGGCCACACUGGAACUGAGACACGGUCCAGACUCCUACGGGAGGCAGCAGUGAGGAAUUUUGCGCAAUGGGCGAAAGCCUGACGCAGCAACGCCGCGUGGACGAUGAAGGUCUUCGGAUCGUAAAGUCCUGUCGAGUGGGAAGAAAAAUGGGUGACCUAAUACGGCAUUCAUUCGACUGUACCACCAAAGGAAGCCCCGGCUAACUCCGUGCCAGCAGCCGCGGUAAUACGGAGGGGGCUAGCGUUGUUCGGAAUUAUUGGGCGUAAAGGGCGCGUAGGCGGCCGAAUAAGUCUGACGUGAAAUCCCCCGGCCCAACCGGGGAACUGCGUUUGAUACUGUUCGGCUCGAGUCCGGGAGAGGGUAGUGGAAUUCCCAGUGUAGCGGUGAAAUGCGUAGAUAUUGGGAGGAACACCGGUGGCGAAGGCGGCUACCUGGACCGGUACUGACGCUGAGGCGCGAAAGCUAGGGUAGCAAACAGGAUUAGAUACCCUAGUAGUCC
Molecule: ribosomal RNA, 810 nt
Filed under: uncultured bacterium
Lineage: Bacteria
Description: bacterial SSU rRNA
Rfam family: Bacterial small subunit ribosomal RNA
Source: RNAcentral